AGAGUUWGAUCCUGGCUCAGAAUCAACGCUGGCGGCGUGCCUAACACAUGCAAGUCGAACGCGAAAGGGGAGCAAUCCCUGAGUAGAGUGGCAAACGGGUGAGUAACACGUGGGUGACCUGCCUUCGAGUGGGGGAUAACGUCCCGAAAGGGACGCUAAUACCGCAUGACAUCCUGCCUUUGGAAAGGCGGAGAUCAAAGCUGGGGAUCGCAAGACCUGGCGCUUGAAGAGGGGCCCGCGCCUGAUUAGCUAGUUGGUGGGGUAACGGCUCACCAAGGCGACGAUCAGUAUCCGGCCUGAGAGGGCGGACGGACACACUGGGACUGAGACACGGCCCAGACUCCUACGGGAGGCAGCAGUGGGGAAUUGUUCGCAAUGGGCGCAAGCCUGACGACGCAACGCCGCGUGGAGGAUGAAGGUCUUCGGAUUGUAAACUCCUGUUGCUCGGGACGAAAAGCUUCGACCUAAUACGUCGAAGUCUGACGGUACCGAGUGAGGAAGCCCCGGCUAACUCUGUGCCAGCAGCCGCGGUAAUACAGAGGGGGCAAGCGUUGUUCGGAAUUACUGGGCGUAAAGGGCGCGUAGGCGGCCUGCUAAGUCGAACGUGAAAUCCCUGGGCUCAACCCAGGAACUGCGUCCGAUACUGGUUGGCUUGAAUCCGGGAGAGGGAUGUGGAAUUCUUGGUGUAGCGGUGAAAUGCGUAGA
Molecule: ribosomal RNA, 705 nt
Filed under: uncultured bacterium
Lineage: Bacteria
Description: bacterial SSU rRNA
Rfam family: Bacterial small subunit ribosomal RNA
Source: RNAcentral